Long non-coding RNA from Paramisgurnus dabryanus, 704 nucleotides. RefSeq lists it as uncharacterized. The record is from RefSeq and is a predicted model, not a curated record. Lineage: Eukaryota; Metazoa; Chordata; Actinopteri; Cypriniformes; Cobitidae.
GAGCACCAAUUAUGCUAAUAAAUGAGCACGUUAGCACGUUAUUGUAAUAUCCCAUAGUACAUACAUGUUAUUAAAACUUGAACUAAUGCACUGUGAGUCUUAUAAAUUGCUUACAUACCUCACCGAUUUCCCACUGUCUGGAAAACGCUCGGUUUAGUUCCUGUCUCCGCCUCCCAAAAUGUCUAGUGUAUUCGGAUUGGUCAGAUGACUACUCAACUGUUAUUGGUCAACUGGGUUCGGCGUGUGUUUGAAAGGUUACGCCCCUGACUACGCGUGGGUUUUCCGGUUCUGACUGAGAGUCACAGGCAACGUAAACAAGCGCUAUAUUUCUCUAUAAACGAUGGUGUCUGUACUGCCUUACCACUUCAAGCUCGAUCCAGAGAGUUCAGACGGCGUUACGAUAUAAACGAUCUCCGUCAAUUAACGCGAUUGGAUUUAACUUUUUUAGGUGUCCUUAGCUCUGCCAGAAUGCUAAACGAAGACGAAAAUGUGUUGCAAAGACAUCCAAAAGGUUUUAAGGAGAAUGCAACAGGUUCCAGGGCCUCUUACCUGCGUGAUUCAUCAUCCAGAUACGCUUGGAGCUUCCUGAUCAGAUCGGUCACAAUUUUGGCUUUCGAUGACCCCUGCACUGAAGAUGGCAUGCAAUCACGUCCUCCUUUGAAGGUCUCUCAAACUGUGAUGCCAGGUCCAUUGGAAUCGGGGUU